CCUACGGGAGGCAGCAGUGGGGAAUAUUGCACAAUGGGGGAAACCCUGAUGCAGCAACGCCGCGUGAGUGAAGGAGUAUUUCGGUAUGUAAAGCUCUAUCAGUAGGGAAGAAGAAAGACGGUACCGGACUAAGAAGCCCCGGCUAACUACGUACCAGCAGCCGCGGUAAUACGUAGGUGGCAAGCGUUAUCCGGAGUUACUGGGGGUAAAGGGAGCGUAGACGGCUGGGCAAGUCUGAGGUGAAAGCCCGUGGCUCAACCGCGGAACGGCUUUGGAACCUGUAUGGGUUGGGUGUUGGAGAGGCAGGCGGAAUUCCUGGUGUAGCGGUGAAAGGAGUAGAUGUGAGGAGGAACACCAGGGGCGAAGGCGGCCUGCUGGACAGAAACUGACGUUGAGGCUCGAAGGCGUGGGGAGGAAACAGGAUUAAUACCCCAGUAGUC
This 440-nucleotide ribosomal RNA is filed under the name uncultured bacterium. Its description in RNAcentral is "partial 16S ribosomal RNA". It matches the Rfam family "Bacterial small subunit ribosomal RNA", at positions 338 to 795 of the family's 1533-position model. The record is from RNAcentral.